GAAGCGGUCUGGGAAAACGCUUUAUAUUUUUUUGAGCGGCAUAGCCGUUCAAUUAAUUUAAAGAGGAAAGUCCGGGCUCCAUAUAACAACGUAGCGGGUAAUGCCCGUCCGCCGCAAGGCGCGGAUUAGAGCCACAGAGACGAGUCUUCCUGCUUUUUGUAGGAAGGGUGAAACGCGGCAAUCUCUACGCGGAGCAAGGCCAAAUAGGGAAGGAAUAAAUUUUAGGGGCAGUUUACGGAUUGUCUUUAAACUUUAUACGGGGCAGUUAGUUCCGUUAAAACUUCCGGGUAGGUUGCUAGAAUAUGCCAGUAAUGGUAUAUCCAGAGGAAUGUUUUCCGCCUGAUUGCGAAAUCAGAUACAGAACCCGGCUUAUAGGACUGCUUCUUUU
This 388-nucleotide RNase P RNA is filed under the name Candidatus Omnitrophus magneticus. Its description in RNAcentral is "Bacterial RNase P class A". It matches the Rfam family "Bacterial RNase P class A". Rfam says of the family: Ribonuclease P (RNase P) is a ubiquitous endoribonuclease, found in archaea, bacteria and eukarya as well as chloroplasts and mitochondria. Its best characterised activity is the generation of mature 5'-ends of tRNAs by cleaving the 5'-leader elements of precursor-tRNAs. Lineage: Bacteria; Pseudomonadati; Candidatus Omnitrophota. The record is from Rfam by way of RNAcentral.